UACAGAGGGUGCAAGCGUUGCUCGGAUUUACUGGGCGUAAAGCGUACGCAGACGGUCACGCAGGUCGGAUGUGAAAGCCCCGGGCUCAACCCGGGAACUGCAUUCGAAACCAUGUGACUCGAGGAUGGUAGAGGAGAGCGGAAUUCCCGGUGUAGAGGUGAAAUUCGUAGAUAUCGGGAGGAACACCAGUGGCGAAAGCGGCUCUCUGGCCCAUUUCUGACGUUCAGGUACGAAAGCGUGGGGAGCAAACAGG
RNAcentral lists this ribosomal RNA (253 nucleotides) under uncultured bacterium. RNAcentral describes it as "partial 16S ribosomal RNA". It matches the Rfam family "Bacterial small subunit ribosomal RNA", at positions 524 to 776 of the family's 1533-position model. The record is from RNAcentral.